UAACGUCAAAUUUGUAUGGAGCUGGAACGUUUGCCUACGUUUGCCGCUAAGGGCGCUGUUCGAACUGCAUACAAAUUUGAAGUUA
Molecule: non-coding RNA, 85 nt
Organism: Bombyx mori (domestic silkworm)
Lineage: Eukaryota; Metazoa; Arthropoda; Insecta; Lepidoptera; Bombycidae
Source: Rfam